GGUAAGUUUUAUUCUUACUUAAAUAUUUAUUUUGAGAAAAUAUUAUAUGUAAGUUGAUGCAUUUUAUUAAUUCUAAAGGAUGUAAUAAAUUAAAAUAUUACAGUAAUAAAUAUUACUGAUUUAAGUAAUUUUGAGUUAGUUAUUUUCAUUAAAUAUUGAUUAAAUAUGUGCCAGCAUUCGCGGUUAUACAUAAAAUGUUAAUAAAUAUUAUUGGUUUGUAGUUAUUAUAAUAUAAUUAAUUUAUUUUGAAUAUUUUUGGGUGAAAUCUAAUUAUUCUUUUUUUUUAAAAAUAAAUUUAAGAACCUAUGAAAUUUAAUUAUAAAAACUAGGAUUAGAUACCCUAUUAUUUUAAAUUUAAAGAUAAAACUUGAGUAGUAUUAGUUAUGAUCUUGAAACUUAAAGAAUUUGGCGGUAUCUUAGUCUAUUUAGAGGAAUCUGUCCCAUUAUCGAUAAUCCACGUUGGACCUUACUUAAUUUAAGAGUAUGUAUACCGCCGUUUAUUUGAAAAUCUUAUAAGGGUUAAAUUUUCUUAAUAUAAAAUUUUAUAAUAUUUCAGGUCAAGGUGCAGCUUAUAAUUAAGUGGUGAUGGAUUACAAUAUAUUUAUAAAUGAAUUAUGAAUUGUAAAAUUAAUAUGAAGGUGGAUUUAAUAGUAAUUUUAAUGAGAUUAUUAAUAUGAUUUUGGCUCUAAGAUGUGUACACAUCGCCCGUCACUCUCGUUAAUUAAGGUGAGAUAAGUCGUAACAAAGUAGGUGUACCGGAAGGUGUAGCUAGAAUAAU
RNAcentral lists this non-coding RNA (778 nucleotides) under Cyrtonotula longialata. The record is from RNAcentral. Lineage: Eukaryota; Metazoa; Arthropoda; Insecta; Blattodea; Blaberidae.